GACGAACGCUGGCGGCGUGCUUAACACAUGCAAGUCGAACGGUGAAGCGCCUUCCUUUUUGGUGGGUGUGGAUGAGUGGCGAACGGGUGAGUAACACGUGAGUAACCUGCCCCCUUCUUCUGGAUAACCGCAUGAAAGUGUGGCUAAUACGGGAUAUUCUGGGUCUGUCGCAUGAUGGGUCUGGGACAGAUAUUGUUUCGGUGGGGGAUGGGCUCGCGGCCUAUCAGCUUGUUGGUGGGGUGAUGGCCUACCAAGGCGGUGACGGGUAGCCGGCCUGAGAGGGUGGACGGUCACACUGGGACUGAGACACGGCCCGGACUCCUACGGGAGGCAGCAGUGGGGAAUAGUGCACAAUGGGCGCAAGCCUGAUGCAGCGACGCCGCGUGAGGGAUGGAGGCCUGCGGGUUGUGAACCUCUUUCGCCAGUGAAGCAGGCCUGCCUCGUUUGUGGGUGGGUUGACGGUAGCUGGAUAAGAAGCGCCGGCUAACUACGUG
Molecule: ribosomal RNA, 494 nt
Filed under: uncultured bacterium
Lineage: Bacteria
Description: partial 16S ribosomal RNA
Rfam family: Bacterial small subunit ribosomal RNA
Source: RNAcentral